This 286-nucleotide ribosomal RNA is filed under the name uncultured Methylomirabilota bacterium. RNAcentral describes it as "uncultured candidate division NC10 bacterium partial 16S ribosomal RNA". It matches the Rfam family "Bacterial small subunit ribosomal RNA", at positions 1060 to 1345 of the family's 1533-position model. Lineage: Bacteria; Methylomirabilota (SeqCode). The record is from RNAcentral.
UCGUGUCGUGAGAUGUUGGGUUAAGUCCCGCAACGAGCGCAACCCUCACCCCUUGUUGCCAUCAGGUGAUGCUGGGCACUCUAGGGGAACUGCCCCGGUCAACGGGGAGGAAGGUGGGGAUGACGUCAAGUCAUCAUGCCCCUUACGCCCUGGGCUACACACGUGCUACAAUGGCCGGUACAAAGGGAUGCAAGACCGCGAGGUGGAGCUAAACCCAGAAAGCCGGUCUAAGUUCAGAUUGGAGUCUGCAACUCGACUCCAUGAAGGAGGAAUCGCUAGUAAUCGC